This 497-nucleotide ribosomal RNA is filed under the name uncultured bacterium. RNAcentral describes it as "partial 16S ribosomal RNA". It matches the Rfam family "Bacterial small subunit ribosomal RNA", at positions 28 to 507 of the family's 1533-position model. The record is from RNAcentral.
GAUGAACGCUGGCGGCGUGCCUAAUACAUGCAAGUCGAGCGAACAGAUGAGGAGCUUGCUCCUCUGACGUUAGCGGCGGACGGGUGAGUAACACGUGGAUAACCUACCUAUAAGACUGGGAUAACUUCGGGAAACCGGAGCUAAUACCGGAUAAUAUAUUGAACCGCAUGGUUCAAUAGUGAAAGACGGUUUUGCUGUCACUUAUAGAUGGAUCCGCGCCGCAUUAGCUAGUUGGUAAGGUAACGGCUUACCAAGGCAACGAUGCGUAGCCGACCUGAGAGGGUGAUCGGCCACACUGGAACUGAGACACGGUCCAGACUCCUACGGGAGGCAGCAGUAGGGAAUCUUCCGCAAUGGGCGAAAGCCUGACGGAGCAACGCCGCGUGAGUGAUGAAGGUCUUCGGAUCGUAAAACUCUGUUAUUAGGGAAGAACAAAUGUGUAAGUAACUAUGCACGUCUUGACGGUACCCAAUCAGAAAGCCACGGCUAACUACGUG